UCGAACGAGAAAGUGGAGCAAUCCAUGAGUACAGUGGCGUACGGGUGAGUAACACGUGGGUAAUCUACCCUUUGGUGGGGAAUAACUCUGGGAAACCGGAGCUAAUACCGCAUAAUCCCGAGAGGGAAAAGCAGCAAUGCGCCGAAGGAGGAGCCCGCGGCCGAUUAGCCAGUUGGUAGGGUAAUGGCCUACCAAAGCAAAGAUCGGUAGCCGGCCUGAGAGGGCACACGGCCACACUGGCACUGAAACACGGGCCAGACUCCUACGGGAGGCAGCAGUGGGGAAUCUUGCACAAUGGGGGAAACCCUGAUGCAGCGACGCCGCGUGAGCGAUGAAGCCCUUCGGGGUGUAAAGCUCUUUCGGCAGGGAAGAUUAUGACGGUACCUGCAGAAGCAGCUGCGGCUAACUACGUGCCAGCAGCCGCGGUAAUACGUAGGCAGCAAGCGUUGUUCGGAGUUACUGGGCGUAAAGGGUGUGUAGGCGGCUUUUUAAGUUUGGUGUGAAAUCUCCCGGCUCAACCGGGAGGGUGCGCCGAAUA
Molecule: ribosomal RNA, 538 nt
Filed under: uncultured bacterium
Lineage: Bacteria
Description: bacterial SSU rRNA
Rfam family: Bacterial small subunit ribosomal RNA
Source: RNAcentral